This 512-nucleotide long non-coding RNA is filed under the name Anser brachyrhynchus (Pink-footed goose). RNAcentral's name for it is "lncRNA (ENSABRG00000022571.1)". Lineage: Eukaryota; Metazoa; Chordata; Aves; Anseriformes; Anatidae. The record is from RNAcentral.
GCUGUCAGCGUACACCAAGGCUCGGUGUUGGAAUUCAUAAAGAUGGAUUUGUCUAGCCUGUGUGACAGGCAGGUGUUUGUCAGCGUGGGACUACAUAUGAAAGAUGGCCAAAUUAGCUGACAAAGCAGUAAUGCACCUCCUACUGUGCAUUUUUAGAUUGGCAGAAUUCUGCCUCAGUUACUUUGCUGGCCAUCCAAGGAAUUUACUCUAGUCUGUGCAACUUUGUAAACUGCAAAAAACUUCCAUGAGGCCUUCCCCAUGCACAUGGGUGCAAUGAAGAAGUGUCCGUCAGCUCCUGCUGGUUGUAUUGCCUUUUUAGGGUAAGGGGAACAAUUUAUUGUCAGAAUAAUUAUACUUACCAACUUUUCUUUUACCUAUUAAUAUUUCUGAGAAAACAUUUUCAGAAUACAUUAAUCUGCUUCAAAUAAUGAGUAAUCCAUAUGGUAAAGGCUAAGACAGAAAGCUAUUGGACCAGCAAAUAAAUAAGGAAAAAAAUUACUCUUGUAAAUACA